Molecule: unclassified non-coding RNA, 2817 nt
Filed under: Amphimedon queenslandica
Lineage: Eukaryota; Metazoa; Porifera; Demospongiae; Haplosclerida; Niphatidae
Description: vacuole membrane protein 1-like, transcript variant X2
Source: RNAcentral
GGUCUGUAGAUUCAGCACUAGUCAGCAGCAAACAGCAAACGCAGAGUCAGAAGGGAAUUUCCCAAGAAAGUAAAGCAAAGGAGCUAAAGCAACUGAGAGAAAAGCGGCCAUUAAAAGGAAAAGGCAAUGGACAUUGAAGAAGAAGAAGAAGAGAACACGAAACACUGUACCAACUGCAAACACAACAUUAAAACAGAUGUAUACGAGAUGCAUGUAUUACACUGUCAUCGGAGGAUAAAGCUAUGUCCUGAAUGCAAUGAGCCAGUUCCAAAGGAACAAAUGGAGCAACACCACGAGGAUAAUCACACGGAAGCCCCGUGUGAUUUGUGUGGACAAGGAAUAAUGAAGGACCAACUUGAGGACCAUCAGACUAAUGACUGUCGUGAACGCAAGAUCGAGUGCAAAUAUUGUCAGUUAGAAGUGAAAGCGAUCGAUUUCAUGGAGCACACAGUUGCUUGUGGUAGCCGAACCGACGUCUGUGACAAAUGUCUUACGAGGCUAAUGCUUAAAGAUAUGGAGAAUCACAAAUGUGGCGAAGAACCACCUCCCCUCCUUUACAAUCAGUAUCAUACUCCGCCAAAACCACGCCCAACUGGUACCAGGAGGGCCAUACGUGUCGACGUUGACGAAGUUGAGCAGACACAAACCACAGAGCCUGGCAGAUCAGGGUCAGAUGAUGUUAGCAAUCAGUUAAGAAGAGAUGAAGAAAUGGCUGCCGAGCUUCAGGCACAAUAUACCAAUGAAGACCCCGACCAUCACAACGGCUCGCCACACCCUCUAUCACCACAUCCCCUCAUGCCGAAUUCCCACCUUAUACAAGAAACUCGUUACUCUCCGACCACACCUCCUCGCGAGAGGCUAGCACAUGAUACUGGCGAAGACUUACUUAGAGAACAGCUCGAGUUUGAAAUGAGGACAGGAACACGAGGCCAACCAACAAUGGUACUUUAUAAUUACGCUGUCAGCGAGGAAGAGAAGAAGAAGAGAAAUGGAGACAGUCCUGGUAGCCCUAUUGUUUUAAAUGACGAGGAAGGAGAGAGAGAGGAGGAGGAGGAGGAAAGGAGGAGAGAGCAACUGAGAAGAGAUGAGGAAAUGGCUAGACAGCUCCAGGAGGAAAUGGCUAGACAGCUCCAGGAGGAAAUGGCUAGACAGCUCCAGGAGGAAGAUCAAGAAAAUAGAUUGAUAACAAGAUUUGGCCAAGUAAUCGCACAGCGAAAUUCUCCUUCUCCUUCUCCUCCUCUGCUCAAUACUGGAGGAGGAGAGGGUGAGAGGAGAGAGAAUGAAGAAGAAGGUGCCCUUAUUCCUUGUGAAAUAUGUCAGGAGCUAGUCCGUUUUGAAGACUACCAAAAGCACACAGAUGAGAAGCACUCCCAUCUUGCUGCUUAUCUACAAAGCAUCGCUCACCCUCCCCCUCCUCCCCAAAGGUACUCUUCACCCGAGCGUGGAAGAACAGCUUCUUCUUCUUCUUCUUCAACUAAAAACAGUCCAAAAACUGAAGAUGGCGAUAUCCAUUGUUCAUAUUGUCAUUUCAAAUACAGCCCAAACGUAAUAACAUAUCACGAGACUAUAUGUGACAUGAAUCCUGAUAGAGGUUUGAGCAGACCUCAGUUACCAUCACCAAAAGUUAACAGAGCUAAUAGCCCCUUGGCCCCAACCCGUCAACUUGAAGACCUAACUAGAUCAACUGAUGAUACUGAAGAUGAUUUUGGCAUUCCUUGUCAAUUUUGUCAACGCAUGUUCUCUUUCAGUGAAAUAGAGCGUCACCAGAAAGCCUGUCCAACUCGUUUUGACCCUCGUUUUCUUGAAAGAGAAAGCAGAAGGAGUCCUCGAAGCUCCGAUAUCUUUAAUAGCAACGUCAGUGAUGACCGUAAAGCAAGGCCUGUAUUCAAUUCAGCACCUGUUGCUACUUCAGCUACUAAGAAGACCAGCUUGACUCCAACAUUAAACUACGGAGGAGCUAGUGUGGCGGGUUAUACCUCAACAACCCAAAGGAUGAGACUUGGCAGUGAUCCGACUAAAAAACCAUCACUAGAGAAUAAAAUUUUAGCCGAGAGUAAUGUCAACAAAAGCACCUACGUGUAUACUACUAAUAGUGGAGCUACAGGAGGAGGAGGAGGUAGAGGAGGAGGAGGAGGGAGAGGAAGAGGAGGGAGAGAAGGAGGAGGGAGAGGAGGAGGGACAAGAGGAAGAGGAGGAACAGCAAGACCUGGAGCAGAAAGGGGGAGAGGAGGACCAAGAGGACCUGAAGGAGGAGGAAGAGGGAGAGAAGGAAACAGUAGAGGAGGAGGAGGUUCAUUAUAUAUUGAUUUGACUGCUAGUAAUAAUAAUGGGAACAGGACUGGAGACAAUGGAAGAUAUGGUCUUGUUAUAGAAGGCACUGCCAUUACUCCUCCUGGUGAUAAAGAAGAAGAAGAAGAGAUGGAAGUCGAACCUUCUUUUACCGAAAGUGAUGGUAGCAGUAAAGGCUAUCAAGGGAGCAGCUUUACAAAGUGGAGGAAAUAAAGAACAACUUUUUGUGAUAAUGACGAUGGUCAUUAUUACAUCUGUGCAUUUGUAUAGAAUAAGUGCACACACUUUAGCAUGAGACGUUAAAUAAAAUGCUCUUCUUUUUCGUUCAUCUUUAAAUUAUUAAUGUAAUUAUGAUACUUUAAGAUGUAUUUUGAAUUUAAACUGGCCCCUUAUGACUCGGGUUCUGAAUCACGAAUCUAUUAAUUAUUCAUGAUUAUGGUUGUCCACGCCUACAAGCAUGGUUAGGUUAACAAGAAACAAACUUAGGAUCAUGUUGAAGGCACAGGUACAGGUAGUCAAGGUGCCAAA